Molecule: long non-coding RNA, 333 nt
Filed under: Homo sapiens (human)
Lineage: Eukaryota; Metazoa; Chordata; Mammalia; Primates; Hominidae
Description: HSALNT0186034
Source: RNAcentral
UUGCAUGCUGAUUCUCGGGCAUUCAGGGAGCUUGCUCAGGUGCCAGUAGUGGCAGUGGUGAGCCAGGCAGGUGAGCAAGUCCUCCAGCCUCUGGACAUUAGGCAUGGCAGGGGUGAUGGCCAUAGCAGUGGCAGAACAUCCCUGUCUCCCAAGUGGUCUGCACUGAUGUUGGUGGUUGCUGCUGAGGCUCAGCAGGGAAGUCCCUGGUCCACAGGUGGCAAGUGAAGUGCUACUCUAAAGGGACAGCACAUCCCGCAAAGGACCUCUCCUAAAGAGCAGAGAACUUUUCAUUACUGGUGUUGUUCAAGAAAAGCCUUGAUGAUGUAGAAGAGA